This 253-nucleotide ribosomal RNA is filed under the name uncultured bacterium. RNAcentral describes it as "partial 16S ribosomal RNA". It matches the Rfam family "Bacterial small subunit ribosomal RNA", at positions 524 to 776 of the family's 1533-position model. The record is from RNAcentral.
UACGGAGGGAGCUAGCGUUGUUCGGAAUUACUGGGCGUAAAGCGCACGUAGGCGGCUUUGUAAGUUAGAGGUGAAAGCCCGGGGCUCAACUCCGGAACUGCCUUUAAGACUGCAUCGCUUGAAUCCAGGAGAGGUGAGUGGAAUUCCGAGUGUAGAGGUGAAAUUCGUAGAUAUUCGGAAGAACACCAGUGGCGAAGGCGGCUACCUGGACCGGUUCUGACGCUGAGGCGCGAAAGCGUGGGUAGCAAACAGG